GCAAGCUACACACCAGGAACCUGCUGGCUCUGCCAUGAGCCUGUGUGCCACCAGCCUGGAGGUAUGAGCGUGUUGGGCUGCAGAUUGUGGAGAGCACUCCAGAGCUGGGUAUGCCCCAAAGCCAGGCAAUCCUGGUUUGGGCAACACCCACCCCCAUCAAUGGGAACCAUCGCUGAGGAACCUUCAAGAAGAUGAGCACAGCAGGCUUAAGUCAUCUUCCUUCUGCCUCAUCUUACCCCCAUAUAUCACUGGAAAUAAUAAGAGACGUGAGAUUUUAUGCCAGCAGGGAAAGCAGAACCCCCCAGAGCAGAAGGAAGAGGCUACAGGUAUUAGCCAAAGAUGCCACCUUCAGCUUGAGGAAGUGCAGCCGUUCUCCACCAGUGAAACGUCCAACUUCCUUCUGUUAGUGUAACGGUGUAUUUAAUUAUUUAAUGUUCAGCUGAAUCUUUAAAUUGGCUUUGCAAUAAGCAGCCCUCGUUUACAUUUUUAUGAUAGAAAAGCUGUAUUAUCAUCAGAAGGUUUUGAUUUUUAUCGUGGUAACUUCAUAAGGUGCUUUUUUUUUUUUGCUUUUUUUUUUUUAAAUGUUCUGCACAUUUAUUAUUUUCAAUACUUUCAUUGCUAAAAUUUUCCUGGAUGUUCAGGUUUAAAUAAUCAAAUAAUCAUCUUAUAACCUAAGCCUUAGCAUCUAUUUAGUUGAUUGCUUCCCCUUAUGUUGCGCCCAGUUUCCAAACUAUGUUCAGACAAGGCCUUCAUGUUUCAAUUUAGGACACUAAUUCUUGUCUUUUUUUUUUUAAAAAAAAAAACAAAGUUAAGACUUCACUUUUUCCUGUACUUUGUUUUAAAUAACAGAAGUCCAUAAAAGUAU
RNAcentral lists this long non-coding RNA (865 nucleotides) under Anas zonorhyncha (Eastern spot-billed duck). RNAcentral describes it as "lncRNA (ENSAZOG00000012684.1)". The record is from RNAcentral. Lineage: Eukaryota; Metazoa; Chordata; Aves; Anseriformes; Anatidae.